Molecule: transfer RNA, 89 nt
Organism: Cylindrobasidium torrendii FP15055 ss-10
Lineage: Eukaryota; Fungi; Basidiomycota; Agaricomycetes; Agaricales; Physalacriaceae
Rfam family: tRNA
About the family: Transfer RNA (tRNA) molecules are approximately 80 nucleotides in length. Their secondary structure includes four short double-helical elements and three loops (D, anti-codon, and T loops).
Source: Rfam
GGGACAAUGGCGUAGUUGGUCAUCGCAUCCGUCUUACACCACGUUCUGUAGGCCACGGAAGGUCGCAGGUUCGAGCCCUGCUUGUCUCA